UUAAGAGCCUUUGAAGAUAUUUGGCUAGACCUGACAGGAAUUGCUACUUCCUCAUCCGUUCAGAGCCAAAUCCUGGUGGAGGGAAUUAUUGAUCAGAAAGAGAAAGUAAAAGUGGCUGCUUCUAAAGGAAAGGAGUGUUUUCAGUGCUACAUGGGGUAUUUGAAAGGCAAUUUGGAAGAAGGAAUGGAAGUCAGUGCUUGUACUGAUGGGCAACAGAUGGCUACCGUUAAUACCUAUCUCAACAUCAAUGGUGAAAGGCAAGAAAACAUGGGACAAAUGGCUCUGGCAGCUGUUAAUGGAAGCUUGAGUUUUCUGGCUCAUGGAUGCGGGGAUCCAGUUCUUAAGGCUGAGUACAAACUAUAUGAAAUUGGGAGCCUUCUGAAAGCCAAACUGAUGGAGAAGUUGAAGAAGUUUGAUGAAUAUAUGUGGAGAUGGAGGAGAUCAGUAAGUAUCCGUACAUCAUCUGUGAAAGCACCAUGAAACUUUGAUGCAGUGUUAAUUAAAAAUCGUAUUAUGUGCAGUUGUUUUGUUUUGCUUAAACAUUUAAAUAGUUAAUCCUGUGCUAACCUGCAAUUCAUACGUAGACAAAAAGCCUGUUUCAUGGUACAGAUCCUAUAUCUCUGCACCAACACUGAGGAGUUCAGAAUUGCCUUGGAAUAGAGUCAGAGCUUUGCUUGUCAUCACUAUGUAUUUUGAUAGUUCUUUUUUGGGAACUACUGUAGGUGCAGCACGUUGAUUUUCUGUCGGAAGCAGCGGGCUGGCCUUCAACAGCCUUGCAAAAGGCAGCAGGAUUUCUCCGCAGUGUGGGUAGAGCUGUCGCCCAGGUGUGGAAGCAAAGUGGAAUCAGGCAGAUACUGAGAAGCAAAGUCCCGCUUUACCUGGAUAAAAUUCAAGACGUUGUCCAGCAAAUGCAGAAUGAAUUGCAAAAGCCCCUAGCGACUUUGAAGGAUGCCUACUACGAUGUAACCUUGAAACCACUGGAUGAAGUUUGGCAAGAAAAGACAGAAGAGUGCCUGAGGAAAAUCCAGGCUUUUUUACCCAAGAUCAUAAAAGACGUGUGGCUAAUGGAACCAAUCCAGGUGGCAUUAAAGGCUGUGAAAGCAGGCUUGGAUAUGGCUACACAGCAGAUGCUCAGGUGGGCAGAGGCCAUGUUUUCUAGGGCCGUGAGCAAGAUCCGGAAGCCUUUACUCAACCUUUACAGUUUUUCAGCCAGGAACUGUUCAGUGGCAGUAAAACUGCCAGUACUUCCUAAAGCAGACCGCUCCUUGGAUCUGGCAAAUAUUACUAAUUAUCUCAUAGAAGAAAAGCUAAUGAGGCCUCUCCAAGACCUCUACAAUAUCAACAUAGUCGCAGAGUAUUAUAGAUUCAAACGGAGGAUGAUGGAGAGUCCCUUUGAAUAUCAUGCCAUGUUAAUGGGGACCAAACAUCUUAUGACUUUUGAUGGGAGAAUUUAUGAUUUAGCAUCAAAGUGCAGUGUACUUCUUGCCAAGGAUUUUGUUCACGAUACUUUCACUGUAAUACUAAACGAGGAAACUGGUAACUCAAGAUCACUGUAUGUGGAGAUGAACCAGACCGUGAUCAGUAUCUAUCCAAGACUGAAGGUAUAUAAGAUGUAUAACUUCUCCUUUAUGGAAGAGAACUGCCAAGUACUGGAUCAGUCCCUUGAAAUGAAUAGCACUAAUUCAAGGAGAGAAACCAACAAAAUAGAAGUGUCUAAUCAGAAAGGAGUCUCCGUCUCUUGUGACUUUCAGUAUGAUCUCUGUACUGUCACUCUGGCUGGCUGGCACCAUGGUAUUUCAGCUGGGCUUUUUGGUACCAAUGAUAAUGAAGCUGGAAACGAAUGGAUGCUUCCUAAUCGCUCCUUCACUGACAACGUGCAAGAGUUCACACAGAGCUGGCAGGUAAGCAAGUGCAGUCUCGUACAGAAGAAAGCGAAGCCAUGUCCAAUUACAGCUAAGCAAAACGUCUGUGAAGUGUUUUUUGAAGAAUCACAUUCACUUCUUAGGAACUGCUUCAAAGUUGUGGACCCUGAACCGUUCUACAGCAUGUGCAGGUCUGACUCCUGUGGCUCCGGGGCGCUGGAGGCUGCCUGCAGUUUAGCAGCGGCUUUUGUUCAUUUGUGCAACCGAAAUUUUGUCCCUGUGGAAAUGCCUCCUCAGUGCUUGAGCCAGUUCUGAAUGGCAGGUACCAGCCCUGAAGAUGGAAGAACCCUUUCAGCACGCAAAAUAAAACAGCUAUUUUAGGUGGACA
Long non-coding RNA from Calidris pygmaea (Spoon-billed sandpiper), 2250 nucleotides. NCBI's taxonomy places the organism in Eukaryota, Metazoa, Chordata, Aves, Charadriiformes, Scolopacidae. The record is from Ensembl.